GCUCUUGGUCCUAGAAACCUUGAUUCCCCCGGGUUCCCACCUUUACUAUCUCUGUGUUUUGUUUUGUGUUGGCGUUUUGUUUUGUGUUGGCUCUUUCCAUAAGUUCCCCAGCACCUGUUCUUCAACCCCAUCCUGCUGAGCUGGUCUUGGCAAGUGGCACCCAACGUGGGGUGGGCAAACAGGCAGGUAUGAAGAACCAAGGACUGCGAAUACAGUGGGAAUUUUUAUUCAUUGUAAGUGCUGUGGAGCCCUGAGAAGAAGGGAGGAAUUUUGCGUGGCCGCACUGAAGAAAUCCUGUGGAUACGUUCCCUCUCUCAGAGCUGCAAAAUGAAGAAACCAGGUAUCCAGAAUUAUACCAUGGAGUGCCAACUACCAAAUUCUUACAGUGAAUCAUUACACAUGGAAAUUUAGCAAAAAAAGAGACUUCAUGAUAUACAAAUUCUAUGAUAUCCUUAUUCUUCAGUUCAUCAAAUUCAUAUACCUUAUUUUUCAUUGUUUUAAAUGUUAAACCAAAUUAUUAUAGCAUAGAAUAUAUCAUUGGGUAUCAUGAAGCUUUACUUUGGGUGACGUUAUCAAACAGGAAUUUUUCAUGAUGCUUUAUUUGUAAGUACCAUGAAACAGAAAAUAAAAAGACCUCUCCUUCCACAAGAACAGAGAAAAUGAAAGUUGAGAUUACUGUGUGCUAAACUAUGCUUAAAAUAUAUUUUUUCCUCCUUUCGUCAUUAGAAGAUACUUUGAGUACUCUAAGGAAAGUGAUAAAAUAUAAUAGUGGUUGUGGUCUGUGUGUUGGGAAAGUCAUCAUAGGCAGCAUUUAUGAGGAAUCCAAGUGGAAGGGAGAUGUGAACUUCACUUAAAACCAGUACUGUGAAAAUUAACAGUUAUUUGAAAGACCAUACUAAGUUCAGCAGAUGCAAUUAGUACCAUGUUACUGGAGUUUAGGAUGGCCACAGAAGGGUGAGUGUGACAUGUACAGAGGCUAUGAAGUAAAUAUUCAUUUUUACAACCAUUAGCAUAUAGACUAAACCUUAGUUUGAGUUGCAAACUAUGGAGAUCUGAUUUACAGUUUUUAAAGUUUUGCUCUGCCUCAUAUUGAUCCCUUAGGGAAGAUCCAUGGCCACAUGGUCAAAUGAAUACGUUCAACACCAGCCAGAUAGGUCAAUUGCCAGGAACAAUCUAAAACUGAAAACUGACAUAAAGCGAAGCUAUUUCUGUUGAAACUGUUGUUUUGCAUAGCCCUUACAUAGCAUUAUAUAAAAUCAGCACUACAUUUUUCAACUGCCUCUGCUAAUGUAAUCACUUAUAUUAGAAUCUUCUGAUUAUUGCCCAAUAUAGCUUAUUAAAUGUCCAUUCACACUAUGUGCUUCCUUUUGACAAUAGAAGUUUCUGUGUAGUCCUGUGUCCUGUAUUUGCUCUUUAUUUUCCCUCUGUUAAAUUUCUGAUCUGAUUUCAUAAGCAGAUAGGCCUAUCAAAGGGCUUAUAUAUUUUUAUACAUACAAAGCAUUUGUUGCAUCCACAAAUCCUUCACUAUUCACUAUUGUAAGCCAAAUCUCUAUAUUGAUAUAUGCAUAUUGGUAUUUUCCAAAUAUUUGAUAUCUUAUUUUGUGAAAUGAGCUACAACUGGAACUAAAUACAUUUAUUUCAUUUCUCUGUAUUGGUGCUUCUCAAACCUUACUGUGUAUCAGAAUGUUUAGAGGAACCUGUCUAAAAAACCAUAUGUUUAGGACCAGCUACUAUUUUAUUAGAUAUAGGAUCAGGCUCAGGAAUCUGUAACUUUAUCAAGGCACUUAAAGUGAUUCUGUUACAUGAGGUCCAUAGUGAGCCAUUCUUUAAGAAAUCUAUAGGUAUUUUAGAAAGAAAAAAAUGUAGGUUGAUUUGGUUUGUUUUUAGAAAUCACAAGACUGCCUAAUUGUUAAAUAAUACAAAUCAAUAAAAGAGUUCUCUAUAAGACAAGAGCUUUUACAUUGGCUAAUUUAUAAUGUACAAAAUAUGGUUAUUUUUUAAGUGAUAAAUAGCUGUUCCACACUGCUCUGGGUGACAAUACAUAUUUAUGAAUGAAUAAAUGUGUUCGUAUGGAGGGGAAAAUUGAAAAUGAUUAGCUUUAAUUAGAAGAUGAAUUAGAAACUGAUUUGGGUAGGGGAAUGACAGUUUAAGCUAUGUAUAAUUUUAUUGUUAUUGUUGUUGUUGCCAUUGCUGUUUUUGAACUUAUGAAGCUCCCGGAUGGGGCUCUACUAACUGCUUAUUGCCAUGGUUAUUAUUAGCACUGCUAUUUUAGAUGACAUGACAUGUAUGAUAAGCUGAACUGUGAUUCCAGAAACAUGGAUUCACCGUAUAUUUUUUCUCUUCUAAAAUUAGCUGUAUUCAUUUUAUUAAAAUGGCACAUAAAUGGAGAUUUAUCGUAUAAUUAUGGGGAAACUGUAAGACACAAAUCGCUAUUUUAGAACAAGAAUUGACUUGUUUUACAGUUUAAGACACCUCUGACUAUCUCCUACUGCUUGCUCACACUAUUAACUGCAUUUUUCCUGCAGGGGUUUUGUAUCCAUCAGGGUUUAGGCAGAAAAACAGACACAAUGUUACACUUUUAAGAGAGAAAAUGUAAUGUAGGGAAUUGGCUACACAAUCUUGGAAAAACUGAGAGGACACUUGAGAUUAAUUAGCAAGAGCAGGGAGCAGGAAGCCAUUUAAAGCCAGAACUCUCCCUAGAUGAGGGCGGAGAAGGAGAGAGUGCCAGGGCCUGGGUCUCUAGGGGAUGAAGGAGCCAGUAUGGGCUCCCUCCACAGCCAGAACCUGGAAAGACACUAUGGGGGAAAAGAAGAGAAAACACUGGUUAUGCUUAGGUUCCACCCUCCCAUUUUGCUAAAUGUCUUUAAA
Molecule: long non-coding RNA, 2868 nt
Organism: Sus scrofa (pig)
Lineage: Eukaryota; Metazoa; Chordata; Mammalia; Artiodactyla; Suidae
Source: RefSeq, a predicted model, not a curated record